This is a long non-coding RNA of Rosa rugosa (rugosa rose), 1208 nucleotides long. RefSeq lists it as uncharacterized. NCBI's taxonomy places the organism in Eukaryota, Viridiplantae, Streptophyta, Magnoliopsida, Rosales, Rosaceae. The record is from RefSeq and is a predicted model, not a curated record. The transcript has 3 exons.
AUAAGGUCAGACCCAAAAAACGACGUCGCUUCCUCCUUUCACCUCAAAACCUCGUCUCCUCUAAGCUUUCGCCCAAGACCCACAAAUUCAAAUCCACCAUGGCCGAGCUCAGACCAAAAAACCACGGCCGAGCUCAAACACUUGCACGCCUAAAACACCUGGUUCAUCCUUGCUGCCGACGACUAUACCAUGGCCCAUGUCAUCAGACCUGUGUCGUCUCCAGAAACAGCGAUGUGGUUAUGCCCUCCAAGUGUUCGAUCAAAUUCCCAACCCGAGUGGCUUAUCGUAAUGAGAGGUUGUGCCCUUCAACUAAGCAGGGCAACAUUUUGAGCUAAUUAAGGAUCCUGAUAUGGAGCGUAUAGUCAGCUAGCUUAUAACUUUAAUUACUGCUCUAAAUGUUGAGGAAUCAUCUCAUCUCCAACAACAAGUAGUAGUUGUCACUCAUUCUCAAUCUCAUAUAUAUGGUCAAUCGGUAUCCUUGAAACAACACCUGGGAAACUUGAUAUUCGUGCUUCCACUCUAUCGAAAGCGCCUCCAGACGUCUCUCUUCGCCGCCUGACUUACUAGAACAACCUCGGUACUAUAGUUGCAGCAGUCAAUGGGGUAAUCUUCCCGGUUUAUGGUUGUUUUUUGUCAAGUGUAAUCAAGACUUUCUUUGAGCCGCCUCAUGAAUUCCAAGCCACCUUCCCUUUUUUAUCAAGACAUCAACUCUGGGGAAAUUGUUGGGAGGAUGUCAGAUAAAAGAGGCUUACAUGAACUUGGCUAAAGUUUACGGGGAGAGAAUUACAUUGGAGCUUGAAUCCAUUCAAUUUUCAGAUAGAUAAUCAAGUCAAGAACCUCUCCUGCUUCAAGGCCUGAAGUUUCUGUACAGGGCACAACAGGUUGCUUCGGUCACAGAGUCUAAAAUCUAAAUUAUUGCAAUCAAUCCAAUGAGUGAGACUGCUGUGUGUCCUUAUUACUCACUCAAGGUGGAUUAGGACAACCGAUUUGCCAUUAUGAUUCCAGUGCUUUGCAAGGAUGUUGAUACAUAAACCAUAUUUCCAGCUCAAAACUUGUUGAUACUUUCGGUGAAGCUGGUUUACGAGUUGAGGCAGAUUUGAGGGAUGACUACUCACCUGGUUGGUGUUCCUCCAACGAUUGAAAUUGGACCAGAGGAUUUGGCUAGUAAUCAAGGGGCAUUGACCCCUGCUUAAAUAUAUAUGUUGUAA